AACCCGGGGAACUGAAACAUCUAAGUACCCGGAGGAAGAGAAAGAAAAAUCGAUUUCCUAAGUAGCGGCGAGCGAACGGGAAAGAGCCCAAACCAGAAACUUGUUUCUGGGGUUGUGGAUAGAUCAUGAAAGAAGAGGUAUCUUAAUCGAAGAGGGCUGGAACGCCCUACCAUAGAAGGUAAUAGUCCUGUAGAUAAAAAGAGAAAACUUCGAGAUCUAAUCCAGAGUACCACGAGACACGUGAAACCUUGUGGGAAGCAGGGAGGACCACCUCCCAAGGCUAAAUACUACCUAGUGACCGAUAGUGAAGCAGUACCGUGA
This 321-nucleotide ribosomal RNA is filed under the name Clostridium botulinum. RNAcentral's name for it is "bacterial LSU rRNA". It matches the Rfam family "Bacterial large subunit ribosomal RNA", at positions 181 to 506 of the family's 2925-position model. The record is from RNAcentral. Lineage: Bacteria; Bacillati; Bacillota; Clostridia; Eubacteriales; Clostridiaceae.